This 332-nucleotide unclassified non-coding RNA is filed under the name soil metagenome. RNAcentral's name for it is "partial contains 5.8S ribosomal RNA, internal transcribed spacer 2, and large subunit ribosomal RNA". The stretch from base 1 to 120 matches the Rfam family "5.8S ribosomal RNA", at positions 35 to 154 of the family's 154-position model. The record is from RNAcentral.
GAUGAAGAACGUAGCGAAAUGCGAAAAGUAGUGUGAAUUGCAGAAUUCAGUGAAUCAUCGAAUCUUUGAACGCACAUUGCGCCCUUUGGUAUUCCUUAGGGCAUGCCUGUUCGAGCGUCAUUUAAACCUUCAAGCUAAGCUUGGUGUUGGGUGACUGUCCGCUUCACUGCGGACUCGCCUCAAAAUUAUUGGCGGCCGGUACAUUGGCUUCGAGCGCAGCAGAAACGCGAACUCGGGCCCGUCGUAUUGGCUCCCAGAAGCUAUCUUCACAAUUUUGACCUCGGAUCAGGUAGGGAUACCCGCUGAACUUAAGCAUAUCAAUAAGCGGAGGA